UACGUAGGUGGCAAGCGUUGUCCGGAAUUAUUGGGCGUAAAGCGCGCGCAGGCGGUCCUUUAAGUCUGAUGUGAAAGCCCACGGCUCAACCGUGGAGAGUCAUUGGAAACUGGGGGACUUGAGUGCAGGAGAGAAGAGUGGAAUUCCACGUGUAGCGGUGAAAUGCGUAGAUAUCGGGAGGAACACCAGUGGCGAAGGCGGCUUUCUGGGCCUUACCUGACGCUGAGACGCGAAAGCGUGGGGAGCGAACCGG
This 253-nucleotide ribosomal RNA is filed under the name uncultured bacterium. RNAcentral's name for it is "partial 16S ribosomal RNA". It matches the Rfam family "Bacterial small subunit ribosomal RNA", at positions 524 to 776 of the family's 1533-position model. The record is from RNAcentral.